GAAGCAAGGUCAUUCCAUCGUUCACACGGCUCAGAACUGACUGCCGGGUUGUUAAAAUACAUCUGCCGCUGGCAUGAACCCCAGAGGAGGAGGAUUCGUGGGGAAAAGCGGAAAAGUGUCAGUUUAGAGGCUGGGGCACGGUGCUUGGGGCAGAGAGAGAUGGAGGGAAGGUGCUGAUGGAAGGGAUGGCCGGGGAGGGUGCGGAGAGCAGGCGGCCGGGGCAGGGCUGAGCGCGGGCGGGGAGCAGCGCUGGCUGCAGGCGGUGCCGCUCGCUGCGGGGACAGGGCAGUGGGGCACGGGAGCCGGGACAGCCGGGCGGGGACAGGGACAGCCGGGCACGGGGGCCGGGACAGCCGGGCACGGGGGCCGGGACAGCCGGGCGGGGCCGGGACGAGGGUAGGGACAGCCGGGGCGAGGGCAGGAGCGGCCGGGGGGGGCCGGGGCCGGCACAUUCCGGGCAGGCGCAGUGAGCGCACAGCGCUCCGGGCCCAUGGAGGCGGCGGGGCCGCAGCCCGCACCGGGCCCCGCGGCGGGGCCGCAGCCGGGCGCCGAGGAGAUCGACAUGUCCCUGGAUGACAUCAUAAAGCGGCACAGGAAGGAGCAGCCGGAUGCCAGCGCCGUGGGCGACAGCAGAAGGCAGCAGGUCAAGAACAGGAGCUCGGCCCCCGGCUAUGGGCGGCCCCGGUACCGAGCCUGGAAGCAGAGGAAUUUGCAAGGACCUCAGCGUUUCAGAAGAGGCUUUGGACAGCAGCAGCUCAAUCGGAGGCAGUUCAGGAAUGCUCUGCCUGGUGGCAAGAGAAGAGCGGCUGCUGCAUUCCAAGGAGUGAGCCCUUUGAACCGCCAGGACUCGGCCCAGGAGGGCGCCAAGAAGAGCAAUGCUUUUGCCAAAAGCAGUGGUGGGCAGCAGGAGGAACAGCCACAGCCAUCUGCAAGCCCCAAGAGAUUCAGAGCUGAUGCUGCCAGCAUCCGUGCCCCAGGGAGGAGCAGGCCUUUCCUGCUGAACAGAGGAGCAGCAUUCCAGCAGAAGCGGAUGCAGCAGUGGUUCUACAAAGCUCCCUUCCAGAGAUGGCAGAUGGAUUCUCAAGGAGAAGGGAAACCGCCAAGGAUGAGAAGGUGGCAAGUGAAACCCAGCCCGGGAGCAAUUCUGACGGUUUCUGUGCUUAAUCCCCAGGCGGGCCAGCUCAGCCUGCCUGGAUCCAAGCGCCCAUUCCUGCGAAGCCAGAGAGCCCCAGCACAGGUGGCCAAGCCCCAGCCCCGGGGGGUGCUGCUGAGGUUCAACUUCCGCGCCAUGGCCAACCAGACCAGCCUGACUCUGGAUGAGAGGUUCUCUGGUCUGAGGAAUAAGAGGCGCUUUACAGCGGCCAGGAGCGCCCGGCGGACGGUCACCAUGCCUUAGGACACGUGCUCGGCACAGGGACUGCCUGGGACACUCCAGGCUCCCCAACACGGCCUCAAUAAAAGUCCUUAGAUUCCCUUUGAGAUAGCUGAU
This 1489-nucleotide long non-coding RNA is filed under the name Junco hyemalis (dark-eyed junco). RNAcentral's name for it is "lncRNA (ENSJHYG00000012485.1)". The record is from RNAcentral. Lineage: Eukaryota; Metazoa; Chordata; Aves; Passeriformes; Passerellidae.